RNAcentral lists this ribosomal RNA (253 nucleotides) under uncultured bacterium. Its description in RNAcentral is "partial 16S ribosomal RNA". It matches the Rfam family "Bacterial small subunit ribosomal RNA", at positions 524 to 776 of the family's 1533-position model. The record is from RNAcentral.
UACCGAGGGUGCGAGCGUUAAUCGGAAUUACUGGGCGUAAAGCGCACGUAGGCGGCUUGGUAUGUCGGGCGUGAAAUCCCCGGGCUCAACCUGGGAACUGCAUCCGAAACUGCCUUGCUAGAGUAUGGGAGAGGGAAGUGGAAUUUCCGGUGUAGCGGUGAAAUGCGUAGAUAUCGGAAGGAACAUCAGUGGCGAAGGCGACUUCCUGGACCAAGACUGACGCUCAGGUGCGAAAGCGUGGGGAGCAAACAGG